This 420-nucleotide ribosomal RNA is filed under the name uncultured bacterium. RNAcentral's name for it is "bacterial SSU rRNA". It matches the Rfam family "Bacterial small subunit ribosomal RNA", at positions 359 to 776 of the family's 1533-position model. The record is from RNAcentral.
GAAUAUUGGGCAAUGGCCGAGAGGCCGACCCAGCCAUGCCGCGUGCAGGAAGAAGGCCUUCUGGGUUGUAAACUGCUUUUAUCUGGGAAGAAAAACGCCCCUGCGGGGGUACCUGACGGUACCGGAUGAAAAAGCACCGGCUAACUCCGUGCCACCACCCGCGGUAAUACGGAGGGUGCAAGCGUUGUCCGGAUUUAUUGGGUUUAAAGGGUGCGUAGGCGGCCCGUUAAGUCAGCGGUGAAAUCCCACGGCUCAACCGUGGAACUGCCGUUGAUACUGGCGGGCUUGAGUUCGGUCGAGGCGGGCGGAACUGGUGGUGUAGCGGUGAAAUGCAUAGAUACCACCAAGAACCCCGAUUGCGUAGGCAGCUCGCUGGGCCGAAACUGACGCUGAGGCACGAAAGCGUGGGGAGCGAACAGG